Orbicella faveolata is the source of this 188-nucleotide long non-coding RNA. The record is from RefSeq and is a predicted model, not a curated record. Lineage: Eukaryota; Metazoa; Cnidaria; Anthozoa; Scleractinia; Merulinidae.
CCAUGAAUCGUCCUUUUGGACUCCAUCUUGAAUUGUGUGGAAGGUACCUCUGAUCUUUCCAUCACAUUCAUUCCACAAUGCCUAAGCAGAUUCACGAAAUCAAAGAUUUUCUCCUUACCGCUCGAAGGAAGGAUGCCAAAUGUAAGUGACGAUCUUCUUGCUCACGUACUAAUAAGAAAGGGCUGCUG